CUUCUUGAAUUGAUUUGAAGUCUUACCUGCUCACUGAAUAUUGAAGAGCCGCAGUAUAUUGACUGUGCAAAGGUAGCAUAAUCAUUAGUUUAUUAAUUAUGAACUGGAAUGAAUGGUUUAACGAAUUUAUGACUGUCUAUAUUAUUAAUAAUUGAAAUUUAUUUUUGAGUUAAAAGGCUUAAAUGUUAUUAAGGGACGAGAAGACCCUAUAGAUCUUUAUAAUUUAUUUUUAAAAAUAUUUAGUUUAUCAAUAUUAUUAAUAAAUUAUUUAAUUGGGGUGAUUUGAGAAUAUAUAAACUUCUUAUAAUAGUACUUUUAUAAAAGAGUUAAUGAUUUUAUAUUACGGAAUAUAGAUAAAGAUACCUUAGGGAUAACAGCGUAAUUUCAUUUGAGAGUUCAAAUUGACAAUGAAGAUUGCGACCUCGAUGUUGGAUUAAAAUUAAUUAAUAAUGUAGCAGUUAUUAUUUAUGGUCUGUUC
RNAcentral lists this ribosomal RNA (478 nucleotides) under Orocharis aff. lividus ICCM-2015. RNAcentral describes it as "partial 16S ribosomal RNA". It matches the Rfam family "Bacterial large subunit ribosomal RNA", at positions 1833 to 2582 of the family's 2925-position model. The record is from RNAcentral. Lineage: Eukaryota; Metazoa; Arthropoda; Insecta; Orthoptera; Gryllidae.